This is a non-coding RNA of Calypte anna (Anna's hummingbird), 110 nucleotides long. The record is from Rfam. Lineage: Eukaryota; Metazoa; Chordata; Aves; Apodiformes; Trochilidae.
AGUAUUGAUUUCUUAAAACAAAAAGCAGUGCUGCAGUAAUUUCAGCAGCUGGCAUUGUUGGUUUUCAUGCAGAUGUGCUGGUUAAACUUGGUAUCGCUGCUGAAACAAUU